GACGAACGCUGGCGGCGCGCCUAACACAUGCAAGUCGAACGAGCGAGAGAGAGCUUGCUUUCUCGAGCGAGUGGCGAACGGGUGAGUAACGCGUGAGGAACCUGCCUCAAAGAGGGGGACAACAGUUGGAAACGACUGCUAAUACCGCAUAAGCCCACGACCCGGCAUCGGGUAGAGGGAAAAGGAGCAAUCCGCUUUGAGAUGGCCUCGCGUCCGAUUAGCUAGUUGGUGAGGUAACGGCCCACCAAGGCGACGAUCAGUAGCCGGACUGAGAGGUUGAACGGCCACAUUGGGACUGAGACACGGCCCAG
Molecule: ribosomal RNA, 311 nt
Filed under: uncultured bacterium
Lineage: Bacteria
Description: bacterial SSU rRNA
Rfam family: Bacterial small subunit ribosomal RNA
Source: RNAcentral